This 1441-nucleotide long non-coding RNA is filed under the name Callithrix jacchus (white-tufted-ear marmoset). RNAcentral describes it as "lncRNA (ENSCJAG00000084268.1)". Lineage: Eukaryota; Metazoa; Chordata; Mammalia; Primates; Cebidae. The record is from RNAcentral.
GCCUUCUCUCUUAGAAAUAUUAAAGAGACAACAUUAGUGACUAUAUGUUUAAAAGUAAAAACCUCAGAGUUUAAGAGAACAGUGUAAUGUGGUAGUGAAAUAACAGGUUAGCAUUAGCAAAACCUGGAUCUAGAAACCUACUGCCACCUGCUCACUAAACUUGAGUCUCAAUUUUUGUAUCUGCAAAAAAGAGAUUAAUACCUACUGCACAAAGUUAGGUUAAAGGAGAUAGUAUGUGUAAAAGAUUUGUCUUAUGAUUACUACAUUGCAGAUGUUCAAUAAAAAGUAGAUAUUACUAAGAAUGAAAGAGCGAUACAUUUACUGGAUUUAUGCCAACUGAAAGUGAUAAAUAAAAUGAUGUGGCCAGGUGCUGUGGCUCACACCUGUAAUCCCAGCAUUUUGGUAGGCCAAUGCAGAUGGAUUACCUGAGGUCAGGAGUUCAACACCAGUCUGCCAACAUGACAAAACACCAUGUCUACUAAAAACACAAAAAAUUAGCCAGGCGUGGUGGUGGGCACCUAUAAUCCCAGCUACUUGAGAGGCUGAGGCAGGAGAAUCACUGGAACUGGGUGGCAGCAGGGGUGGGCGGGUGGAGGUUGCAGUGAGCUGAGAUCAAGCCAUUUCACUCCAACCUGGGCAAAAAGCAAAACUCUAUCUCAAAAAAACAAACAAAAACAAAACAACAAUGUAGAUGCCACUGUUUUUAUAGGAAUGCUUGUUACUGCUGUAUAACCUGACUUUUCCUGACUAAUAAAGAUUUCAACUGAUGAUAUUUUGUUUUUAAAUAAUGGAACUACCAGGUACAGCUUUCUCUACUGUGAACUUUGGUCACAGUGGAUAUCAAACUCUUUAAGCAAUCAGCCAUCUGCAAGGAUGCCAAGCACAGAUCCUCCUACUUAGAAAUGUCACUUGCAGAGGCCAAGAUGAAAUGCCUCUGUCAGGCAUACACUUCCUGCUAGGUGUUAAGUCUCAUAUUUAACCAGAUAUUCUGUUGCUUUAUUUUCUAGCCACAAUUUCUGUUGAGGAUGAGGUGUUCUUGAGACACCGUAAGAGAAAGCCUUUCUCAGCCUCUUUCUUUCUUUCCUUCUUUCUUUCUCUCUCUCCUUCCUUCCUUCCUUCCUUCCUUUCUUUCAUUCAUUCUUUCUUUCUUUCUUUCCUUUUUCAAGAUGGAGUUUCACUCUUGUUGCCCAUGCUGGAGUGCAAUGGCACGAUCUCCACUCACCACAACCUCCGCCUCCUGGAUUCAAAUGAUUCUCUUGCUUCAGCCUCCCGAGUAGCUGGGAUUACAGGCUCCCUCACAGCUGUUAGGCCAAUAGGACCCAAUCUGGCUGGUCUUCAAAGGGGUAGUCUGCCAAUGGGUCUGAAAAUCCCUUGUUUCUUCAUAAAAUGACUUCGCAAGCUCCAUGUUCCCGGCUACCCUUUCCUUCCUUCUUCUUCCUGC